UACGAAGGGGGCGAGCGUUGUUCGGAUUUACUGGGCGUAAAGGGCGCGCAGGCGGCCAUUCAAGUCAGGCGUGAAAGCCCCGGGCUUAACCUGGGAACUGCAUUUGUGACUGGCGGGCUGGAGUGUGGCAGGAGGGGGGUGGAAUUCCGACGUGUAGCAGUGAAAUGCGUAGAGAUGUGGAGGAACACCGAUGGCGAAGGCAGCCCCCUGGGCCAACACUGACGCUCAGGCACGAAAGCGUGGGGAGCAAACAGG
RNAcentral lists this ribosomal RNA (255 nucleotides) under uncultured bacterium. Its description in RNAcentral is "partial 16S ribosomal RNA". It matches the Rfam family "Bacterial small subunit ribosomal RNA", at positions 524 to 776 of the family's 1533-position model. The record is from RNAcentral.